UGGGGAAUAUUAGGCAAUGGGGGAAACCCUGACCUAGCCAUGCCGCGUGCGUGAAGAAGGUCUUAGGAUUGUAAAGCGCUUUCAGCGGGGGAAGAUGAUGACGGUACCCGCAGAAGAAGCCCCGGCUAACUCCGUGCCAGCAGCCGCGGUAAUACGGAGGGGGCUAGCGUUGUUCGGAAUUACUGGGCGUAAAGCGCACGUAGGCGGACCAGAAAGUUGGGGGUGAAAUCCCGGGGGCUCAACCCCGGAACUGCCUCCAAAACUAUUGGUCUAGAGUUCGAGAGAGGUGAGUGGAAUUCCAAGUGUAGAGGUGAAAUUCGUAGAUAUUUGGAGGAACACCAGUGGCGAAGGCGGCUCACUGGCUCGAUACUGACGCUGAGGUGCGAAAGUGUGGGGAGCAAACAGGAUUAGAUACCCUGGUAGUCCACACCGUAAAACGAUGAAUGCCAGUCGUCGGGUAGCAUGCUAUUCGGUGACACACCUAACGGAUUAAGCAUUCCGCCUGGGGAGUACGGUCGCAAGAUUAAAA
Molecule: ribosomal RNA, 529 nt
Filed under: uncultured bacterium
Lineage: Bacteria
Description: bacterial SSU rRNA
Rfam family: Bacterial small subunit ribosomal RNA
Source: RNAcentral